ACUGCAAGGCUUUGUGAACACAGCCAUCCAGAGGAUGCUGUUUAGAGGGAAGGAGGUCAUUCUAGGGGAAACCAGCUGCCAUAUUAAGAAAACAGUCCUAUGGAAAGGGCCAUGGAACAAAGAAGUGACUUCUGCCAACAACCUCAUGAGUGAACCUAGAAGUGGCUCAUCUAGUCCUGGUCAAAUCUUAUGGACUGUGGCUCCAACUGAUAGUGUGACUGUAACUUCAUAAGAGACGCUGAACCAGACCACCCAAUAAGACACUCCCAGAUUCCCUACUCUCAAAAGUUGUGUGAAAUAAUCACCCCCAGU
This 312-nucleotide long non-coding RNA is filed under the name Homo sapiens (human). Its description in RNAcentral is "HSALNT0147672". The record is from RNAcentral. Lineage: Eukaryota; Metazoa; Chordata; Mammalia; Primates; Hominidae.